ACGAACGCUGGCGGCGCGCCUAAUACAUGCAAGUCGAGCGAGAAGACGUAGCAAUACGUUUGUAAAGCGGCGAACGGGUGAGGAAUACAUGGGUAACCUACCCUCGAGUGGGGAAUAACUAGCCGAAAGGUUAGCUAAUACCGCGUACGCUCCUUGGACUUCGGUUCAGGGAGGAAAGCGAUACCGUGGGUAUCGCGCUCUUGGAUGGGCUCAUGUCCUAUCAGCUUGUUGGUGAGGAACGGCUCACCAAGGCUUCGACGGGUAGCUGGUCUGAGAGGACGAUCAGCCACACUGGCACUGCGACACGGGCCAGACUCCUACGGGAGGCAGCAGUAAGGAAUAUUGCGCAAUGGGCGAAAGCCUGACGCAGCGACGCCGCGUGGGGGAUGAAGGUCUUCGGA
This 401-nucleotide ribosomal RNA is filed under the name uncultured bacterium. RNAcentral's name for it is "bacterial SSU rRNA". It matches the Rfam family "Bacterial small subunit ribosomal RNA", at positions 29 to 422 of the family's 1533-position model. The record is from RNAcentral.